This 709-nucleotide ribosomal RNA is filed under the name Pseudomonas sp. Its description in RNAcentral is "partial 16S rRNA". Lineage: Bacteria; Pseudomonadati; Pseudomonadota; Gammaproteobacteria; Pseudomonadales; Pseudomonadaceae. The record is from RNAcentral.
AGUCCAGGUGGUCGCCUUCGCCACUGGUGUUCCUUCCUAUAUCUACGCAUUUCACCGCUACACAGGAAAUUCCACCACCCUCUACCGUACUCUAGCUUGCCAGUUUUGGAUGCAGUUCCCAGGUUGAGCCCGGGGCUUUCACAUCCAACUUAACAAACCACCUACGCGCGCUUUACGCCCAGUAAUUCCGAUUAACGCUUGCACCCUCUGUAUUACCGCGGCUGCUGGCACAGAGUUAGCCGGUGCUUAUUCUGUCGGUAACGUCAAAACAGCAAGGUAUUAACUUACUGCCCUUCCUCCCAACUUAAAGUGCUUUACAAUCCGAAGACCUUCUUCACACACGCGGCAUGGCUGGAUCAGGCUUUCGCCCAUUGUCCAAUAUUCCCCACUGCUGCCUCCCGUAGGAGUCUGGACCGUGUCUCAGUUCCAGUGUGACUGAUCAUCCUCUCAGACCAGUUACGGAUCGUCGCCUUGGUGAGCCAUUACCCCACCAACUAGCUAAUCCGACCUAGGCUCAUCUGAUAGCGCAAGGCCCGAAGGUCCCCUGCUUUCUCCCGUAGGACGUAUGCGGUAUUAGCGUUCCUUUCGAAACGUUGUCCCCCACUACCAGGCAGAUUCCUAGGCAUUACUCACCCGUCCGCCGCUGAAUCAAGGAGCAAGCUCCCGUCAUCCGCUCGACUUGCAUGUGUUAGGCCUGCCGCCAGCGUUC